This 376-nucleotide ribosomal RNA is filed under the name uncultured organism. Its description in RNAcentral is "partial 16S ribosomal RNA". It matches the Rfam family "Bacterial small subunit ribosomal RNA", at positions 527 to 896 of the family's 1533-position model. The record is from RNAcentral.
GUAGGUGGCAAGCGUUAUCCGGAAUUAUUGGGGCGUAAAGCGCGCGCAGGCGGUUUUCUUAAGUCUGAUGUGAAAGCCCACGGGCUCAACCGUGGGAGGGUCAUUGGAAACUGGGGAACUUGAGUGCAGAAGAGAAAAGCGGAAUUCCACGUGUAGCGGUGAAAUGCGUAGAGAUGUGGAGGAACACCAGUGGCGAAGGCGGCUUCUUGGUCUGUAACUGACGCUGAGGCGCGAAAGCGUGGGGAGCAAACAGGAUUAGAUACCCUGGUAGUCCACGCCGUAAACGAUGAGUGCUAAGUGUUAGAGGGUUUCCGCCCUUUAGUGCUGCAGCUAACGCAUUAAGCACUCCGCCUGGGGAGUACGGUCGCAAAGACUG